GGUUCAUUCAAAUUUCUGCCCUAUCAACUUUCGAUGGUAGGACUAACGCCUACCAUGGUUUUAACGGGUAACGGAGAAUUAGGGUUAGAUUCCGGAGAGGGAGCCUGAGAAACGGCUACCACAUCCAAGGAAGGCAGCAGGCGCGCAAAUUACCCAAUCCUGACCAGGGCGGUAGUGACAAUAAAUAACAAUACAGGGCUCUCUGAGUCUUGUAAUUGGAAUGAGUACAAUUUAAAUCCCUUAACGAGGAACAAUUGGAGGGCAAGUCUGGUGCCAGCAGCCGCGGUAAUUCCAGCUCCAAUAGCGUAUAUUAAAGUUGUAGCAGUUAAAAAGCUCGUAGUUG
RNAcentral lists this ribosomal RNA (343 nucleotides) under uncultured fungus. RNAcentral's name for it is "SSU rRNA". It matches the Rfam family "Eukaryotic small subunit ribosomal RNA", at positions 292 to 636 of the family's 1831-position model. The record is from RNAcentral. Lineage: Eukaryota; Fungi.